UUUCCGUAGGUGAACCUGCGGAAGGAUCAUUACAGAGUUCAUGCCCUCACGGGUAGAUCUCCCACCCUUGAAUAUUUAUACCUUAGUUGCUUUGGCAGGCCGUGGAAACACCAUGGGAUCCGGCUUAUGCGUGCCUGCCAGAGGAAACAAACUCUGUUUUUAGUGAUGUCUGAGUCCUAUAUAAUAGUUAAAACUUUCAACAACGGAUCUCUUGGUUCUG
Molecule: unclassified non-coding RNA, 220 nt
Filed under: plant metagenome
Description: partial contains small subunit ribosomal RNA, internal transcribed spacer 1, and 5.8S ribosomal RNA
Source: RNAcentral